GACGAACGCUGGCGGCGUGCUUAACACAUGCAAGUCGAACGGAAAGGCCCUGCUUGCAGGGUACUCGAGUGGCGAACGGGUGAGUAACACGUGGGUGAUCUGCCCUGCACUUCGGGAUAAGCCUGGGAAACUGGGUCUAAUACCGGAUAGGAGCCAUUUUUAGUGUGAUGGUUGGAAAGUUUUUUCGGUGUAGGAUGAGCUCGCGGCCUAUCAGCUUGUUGGUGGGGUAAUGGCCUACCAAGGCGGCGACGGGUAGCCGGCCUGAGAGGGUGGACGGCCACAUUGGGACUGAGAUACGGCCCAGACUCCUACGGGAGGCAGCAGUGGGGAAGAUUGCACAAGGGGCGCAAGCCUGAUGCAGCGACGCCGCGUGGGGGAGGACGGCCUUCGGGUUGUAAACUCCUUUCGUUAGGGACGAAGCUUUUUGUGACGGUACCUAGAUAAGAAGCACCGGCUAACUACGUG
RNAcentral lists this ribosomal RNA (465 nucleotides) under uncultured bacterium. RNAcentral describes it as "partial 16S ribosomal RNA". It matches the Rfam family "Bacterial small subunit ribosomal RNA", at positions 28 to 507 of the family's 1533-position model. The record is from RNAcentral.